GGAUUUGUACCAAGAUCAUGCCAAGAUGUUACAUAAAUCCUGCAAGAUCAUGGAAAGAUCUUGCUUGAUCUUGCAAGAUCUUUCCAAGUUCUUGCAGGAUCUUACCUAAGAUCUUGCAGGAUCUUGCAAGAUCUUUCCAUGUUCUUGCAGGAUCUUACCUAAGAUCUUGCAAGAUCUUGCCAUUAUCAUGGCAAGAUCUUGCCAUUAUCAUGGCAAGAUCUUGCAGGAUUUGUGCCAAGAUCAUGCCAAGAUCUUACAUAAAUCCUGCAAGAUCAUGGAAAGAUCUUGCAUGAUCUUGCAAGAUCUUUC
Paramuricea clavata is the source of this 309-nucleotide non-coding RNA. The record is from the annotation of a GenBank genome assembly. Lineage: Eukaryota; Metazoa; Cnidaria; Anthozoa; Malacalcyonacea; Plexauridae.